This 482-nucleotide ribosomal RNA is filed under the name uncultured bacterium. RNAcentral's name for it is "bacterial SSU rRNA". It matches the Rfam family "Bacterial small subunit ribosomal RNA", at positions 40 to 518 of the family's 1533-position model. The record is from RNAcentral.
CGGCACGCUUAACACAUGCAAGUCGAACGGAGAUAAUUUGAGUUACUUAGAUUAUCUUAGUGGCGGACGGGUGAGUAACACGUGAGCAACCUACCUCAGAGAGAGGGAUAGCUUCUGGAAACGGAUGGUAAUACCUCAUAACAUAACUGAACCGCAUGAUUUAGUUAUCAAAGAUUUAUCACUCUGAGAUGGGCUCGCGUCUGAUUAGAUAGUUGGUGAGGUAACGGCUCACCAAGUCGACGAUCAGUAGCCGGACUGAGAGGUUGAACGGCCACAUUGGGACUGAGACACGGCCCAGACUCCUACGGGAGGCAGCAGUGGGGAAUAUUGCACAAUGGGGGAAACCCUGAUGCAGCAACGCCACGUGUGGGAAGAAGCAUUUCGGUGUGUAAACCACUGUCAUGAGGGAAUAAGGCCCGCCUUCGGACGGGAUUGAAUGUACCUUGAGAGGAAGCACCGGCAAACUUCGUGCCAGCCGCCGC